AGGAUUAACGCUGGCGGCGUGCCCGACACAUGCAAGUCGAACGAGGUCGCAAGACCGAGUGGCGGACGGGUGAGUAACACGUGACCAACCUACCCCGAAGUCUGGGAUAGCCCUGCGAAAGCAGGGGUAAUACCGAAUGUGGCCCGGAGCGGACAUCCGCACCGGUCUAAAGAUUUAUCGCUUCGAGACGGGGUCGCGGCCUAUUAGCUUGUUGGUGGGUAACGGCCUACCAAGGCGAUGAUGGGUAGCUGGUCUGAGAGGACGACCAGCCACACUGGGACUGAGACACGGCCCAGACUCCUACGGGCGGCAGC
RNAcentral lists this ribosomal RNA (314 nucleotides) under uncultured prokaryote. RNAcentral's name for it is "bacterial SSU rRNA". It matches the Rfam family "Bacterial small subunit ribosomal RNA", at positions 26 to 352 of the family's 1533-position model. The record is from RNAcentral.